CUGCCUGUUCUCGCUCGUGUGUGUUCUCUCUCGAUUGCUUGCUCGCUCUCUCUGCCUCUCUGCUUGUCUAAGAAAAGAGCUGUUGGCUUUGAGAGAAGACCUUGAUAUUACAACUGUGUUAGUAGAUUGAGAUUUCUGUUAGAGUCUUUCUGUUUAGGUCAGAAGUGUUCUUUAUAGAACAGAAUUGGGAGCUUGUAAUCAUAAUGUACUGUUUUUCAACCCUAAUCUCUUGACCAAGAAUGAAACUAUUUACAAAUUAAGAUGCCAACAGAUCACGAAGAGCCCUGUGGUCCCAGUCACAAGUCAUUUUGCCUGAAUGGGGGGCUUUGUUAUGUGAUACCUACUAUUCCCAGCCCAUUUUGUAGGAAGUGAACUGAUGCUGGCUUCUCUUUGUCUUAUUCCAAGUUGGGGCAUGAGAUUUUCCCUGCAUUAGAAGGUUGUUGAGACCUGAAGCCUGGGAAGGUGUAUUGAAAACUAUACAGGAGCUCGUUGUGAAGAGGUUUUUCUCCCAAGCUCCAGCAUCCAAACUAAAAAUAACCUGUUUGAAGCUUUCAUGGCGUUGGCAGUCCUAAUAACACUUAUCAUUGGAGCCUUCUACUUCCUUUGCAGGUGUGGUAACACAUGCAUGUAGUCCUAGCUGCUUGGGAGGCUGAGAUGGAAAGAUCACUUGAGCCCA
Molecule: RNA transcript, 676 nt
Organism: Mandrillus leucophaeus (drill)
Lineage: Eukaryota; Metazoa; Chordata; Mammalia; Primates; Cercopithecidae
Gene: NRG4
Gene name: neuregulin 4
Exons: 6
Source: RefSeq, a predicted model, not a curated record